UCAGUACUCCCAGCAGUGAGGAGGAAACAGCAUGAUAUGUUGAGGACAGCUACAGUUCACUGACUCUGUGUGUUUGCAUAUGUGUCCUUCCUCUCUGCUCCCAGCCUUUAAGAGGCCAGUGUUGAUCAGUGGCUGUCCAGGCCUUUCAGAGCCACUGACACGCCGGCAGCACAAUGAUGAUGUCACUGACUCUACUGCUGGCCACCCUGGGGCUCCUUGUUCAGGGUUCAUCAGGACAAAUCACCCUGACUCAGUCUCCUGGAUCUCAGUCUGUUGUUCCAGGACAGACUGUCUCUAUCAGAUGUACAGCCAGUUCAAGUGUUAGUGGCUACCUCAGCUGGUACCUUCAGAAACCUGGAGAAGCUCCUAAACUCCUGAUUUAUUAUGCUACAAACCGUCAGUCUGGAGUUUCAAGUCGUUUCAGUGGAAGUGGAUCUGGUUCUGACUACACUCUGACCAUCAGUGGAGUUCAGGCUGAAGAUUCAGGAGUUUACUACUGUCAGCAGGGUGCCAGCUUCCCGUUCACACAGUGAUACAACGUCGUACAAAAACCUCCCUCAGCUGGAGAGGAACUGAUCUGACUCAACAGCUGCACUGACACUAAAACAACAGAGGUUUCUCUACAAUGAAAACUCAUGAUUGUAUAAGACAGUAUGAUUUUAAUUGUGAAAAUAUUUAUCAUACAAUUCAGUACAUCAUUUUAUUAUCACUGAAACAAUGUUUUAUCACACAUCUACAGUUUACUAUAACAGUUUUAGAGCAAAGCUUCAUUCAGAAAAUAAAUAGUUUUAGAAGGAAUUAUGACACAAAAACACAAAAUGUUUUGGUGUGAAAGAAAUUUUUCAUCUCAUAAUUUCUGAAGGUUAAUUCUUGUUUCACUGAAAAUUUUGUGGUAGUAUAGAAUAAUUUGAUUUGUAUAGUGAUAAAUUAUAACAGAAUUUAUCUCAGGACAGACUUUAUAUAGAGAAGUUUAGAGUCUAGGCCGUACUUAACAAAACAGUCAAAUUAACACUAAAAAUGCAGAUUAAUUAAACUGAAGGAUGACUAAAA
This is a non-coding RNA of Dicentrarchus labrax (European seabass), 1050 nucleotides long. The record is from the annotation of a RefSeq genome assembly. NCBI's taxonomy places the organism in Eukaryota, Metazoa, Chordata, Actinopteri, Moronidae.